GGCAACCAAUGCAUGGGCCUAGAGUUGCUAUAACACUAGCAAGGUUUCUCCCAGAUGGUCUGGUAUCAGUUAUAAGAGAUGGUCCUGGCGAAGCUGUUGUAUCAGCACUUGAACAGACUACGGAAACCCCAGAACUUGUAUGGACACCAGCGAUGGCAGCUUCUCUAUCUGCACAGAUUUCAACGAUGGCAUCUGACCUAUAUCGUGAACAAAUGAAAGGACGUGUUGUUGAUUGGGAUGUACCUGAGCAGGCAUCUGCACAGCAAGAAAUGAGAGAUGAGCCUCAGGUUCACUUGUUCAUGCUCAUUCAUGAUUUUAGAAUUAUUUUUUCAUGUUCUUUAUCUCACAGAUUUAGGGUCAUGUAGGUUGGCGGAAUUUAUGUCCGGCUGUUUCUUAAAGAUCCAAAAUUUCCUUUGAGAAAUCCAAAGAGAUUCUUGGAAGGACUGCUGGAUCAGUAUUUGUCAUCAAUUGCUGCCACACAUUAUGACACCCAAGCUAUUGACCCAGAGCUUCCUUUGCUUCUCUCUGCUGCUUUGGUUUCAUUAUUGCGAGUACACCCUGCUCUUGCAGACCACGUCGGAUAUCUUGGUUAUGUGCCCAAACUUGUGGCUGCUGUGGCUUAUGAGGGAAGACGAGAAACCAUGUCAACGGAGGAGGUGAAAAAUGGUAACUCUGAAGCAGAUAGAACAUAUGAAUCGGAUGAUGGAUCUGCGCAGCCUGUACAAACUCCUCAAGAACGUGUCCGCCUUAGUUGUUUGCGGGUCUUGCAUCAACUUGCUGCUAGUACUACCUGUGCGGAAGCUAUGGCUGCUGCUGUACGGCCAAGGCGGAUGUACGGUACAGCAGUUUUAAUUUAUGAUCUGAAGGAUUCAAAUGGCUUUUUAUACGAGGCAUUAUCAAAGGAACUUUAUGUUGGCAAUGUUUACUUGAGGGUCUAUAAUGAUCAGCCUGAUUUUGAGAUCACUGAACCAGAAGCCUUCUGUGUUGCUUUAAUUGAUUUUAUAUCGUAUCUUGUGCACAAUCAAUCUGCUACAAAGUCAGAUGUCCAGGGUGAAGAAAGUCUGGAUGGCUUAUCCUCGAAGAUUGUUCAGGAUAAACUUAGUCUUGAUCCCUCAUCCUCAAAGACGUUUGAGCUUCCAAGUGAUGCUACUGAUUCAUCAAUGAAUGAACGGAAAGUUAAUGAUGAGUCCUUAGCCGUAUCUGACAGAAAAGUGACUGGCAAGGAAGAUUCUGUAAUGAUUAAAAAUCUUCAGUUUGGUUUGACCUCACUUCAGGUACGGUUGUGUUUUGCGCAUUCAAGUUGUUAACAAUUCAUUGUAUAUGAUUUUGUUUCUUUUUUUCCCUUUUUUUUUUUUUUUUUUGCAUUUCCAAUUCGCAGAACAUAUUGACAAGCAAUCCAAAUUUGGCAUCCAUAUUUUCUACCAAAGAAAAGCUAUUGCCUCUUUUUGAAUGCUUUUCUGUGCCAUUUGCACCAGACAGCAACAUUCCUCAGCUUUGCCUGAAUGUGCUGUCUCUCUUGACAACAUGCGCUUCCUGCUUGGAGGCUAUGGUGGCAGAUGGAUCUAGUCUUCUCCUUUUAUUACAGAUGCUUCAUUAUGCACCAGCUUGUCGUGAGGGGGUUCUUCAUGUUCUUUAUGCUUUGGCAAGCACGCCAGAACUUGCUUGGGCAGCUGCCAAGCAUGGUGGAGUGGUUUACAUUCUUGAACUUCUCCUGCCUUCACAACGUAAUGAAUUUAUUCUUGUGCCUUAUUUUUUUCCCAAUCUUAUCUUUUGAAAAGCAAUUUAUUUGUUAAUAUAAUUGGUGAUGUGCAGAAGAAAUUCCAUUGCAGCAAAGAGCUGCAGCAGCCUCUUUAUUGGGGAAGCUUGUUGGGCAACCAAUGCAUGGGCCUAGAGUUGCUAUAACACUAGCAAGGUUUCUCCCAGAUGGUCUGGUAUCAGUUAUAAGAGAUGGUCCUGGCGAAGCUGUUGUAUCAGCACUUGAACAGACUACGGAAACCCCAGAACUUGUAUGGACACCAGCGAUGGCAGCUUCUCUAUCUGCACAGAUUUCAACGAUGGCAUCUGACCUAUAUCGUGAACAAAUGAAAGGACGUGUUGUUGAUUGGGAUGUACCUGAGCAGGCAUCUGCACAGCAAGAAAUGAGAGAUGAGCCUCAGGUUCACUUGUUCAUGCUCAUUCAUGAUUUUAGAAUUAUUUUUUCAUGUUCUUUAUCUCACAGAUUUAGGGUCAUGUAGGUUGGCGGAAUUUAUGUCCGGC
Molecule: long non-coding RNA, 2256 nt
Filed under: Citrus sinensis (sweet orange)
Lineage: Eukaryota; Viridiplantae; Streptophyta; Magnoliopsida; Sapindales; Rutaceae
Description: long non-coding RNA (CSIN_LNC001800)
Source: RNAcentral